AGCGGGUGAAAAGCCCGCUCGCCGGAAGACCAAGGGUUCCUGUCCAACGUUAAUCGGGGCAGGGUGAGUCGACCCCUAAGGCGAGGCCGAAAGGCGUAGUCGAUGGGAAACGGGUUAAUAUUCCCGUACUUGGUGUUACUGCGAAGGGGGGACGGAGAAGGCUAUGUUGGCCGGGCGACGGUUGUCCCGGUUUAAGCGUGUAGGUGUGUGUUCCAGGUAAAUCCGGUUCACUUUAACACUGAGGCGUGAYGACGAGGCACUACGGUGCUGAAGCAACAAAUGCCCUGCUUCCAGGAAAAGCCUCUAAGCAUCAGGUAACAUCAAAUCGUACCCCAAACCGACACAGGUGGUCAGGUAGAGAAUACCAAGGCGCUUGAGAGAACUCGGGUGAAGGAACUAGGCAAAAUGGUGCCGUAACUUCGGGAGAAGGCACGCUGACACGUAGGUGAAGUGAUUUACUCAYGGAGCUGAAGUCAGUCGAAGAUACCAGCUGGCUGCAACUGUUUAUUAAAAACACAGCACUGUGCAAACACGAAAGUGGACGUAUACGGUGUGACGCCUGCCCGGUGCCGGAAGGUUAAUUGAUGGGGUCAGCGCAAGCGAAGCUCCUGAUCGAAGCCCCGGUAAACGGCGGCCGUAACUAUAACGGUCCUAAGGUAGCGAAAUUCCUUGUCGGGUAAGUUCCGACCUGCACGAAUGGCGUAAUGAUGGCCAGGCUGUCUCCACCCGAGACUCAGUGAAAUUGAACUCGCUGUGAAGAUGCAGUGUACCCGCGGCAAGACGGAAAGACCCCGUGAACCUUUACUAUAGCUUGACACUGAACAUUGAGCCUUGAUGUGUAGGAUAGGUGGGAGGCUUUGAARCGUGGACGCCAGUCUGCGUGGAGCCGACCUUGAAAUACCACCCUUUAAUGUUUGAUGUUCUAACGUGGACCCGURAUCCGGGUUGCGGACAGUGUCUGGUGGGUAGUUUGACUGGGGCGGUCUCCUCCUAAAGAGUAACGGAGGAGCACGAAGGUUGGCUAAUCCUGGUCGGACAUCAGGAGGUUAGUGCAAUGGCAUAAGCCAGCUUGACUGCGAGCGUGACGGCGCGAGCAGGUGCGAAAGCAGGUCAUAGUGAUCCGGUGGUUCUGAAUGGAAGGGCCAUCGCUCAACGGAUAAAAGGUACUCCGGGGAUAACAGGCUGAUACCGCCCAAGAGUUCAUAUCGACGGCGGUGUUUGGCACCUCGAUGUCGGCUCAUCACAUCCUGGGGCUGAAGUAGGUCCCAAGGGUAUGGCUGUUCGCCAUUUAAAGUGGUACGCGAGCUGGGUUUAGAACGUCGUGAGACAGUUCGGUCCCUAUCUGCCGUGGGCGCUGGAGAACUGAGGGGGGCUGCUCCUAGUACGAGAGGACCGGAGUGGACGCAUCACUGGUGUUCGGGUUGUCAUGCCAAUGGCACUGCCCGGUAGCUAAAUGCGGAAGAGAUAAGUGCUGAAAGCAUCUAAGCACGAAACUUGCCCCGAGAUGAGUUCUCCCUGAGACUU
RNAcentral lists this ribosomal RNA (1524 nucleotides) under Salmonella enterica. RNAcentral's name for it is "partial 23S ribosomal RNA". Lineage: Bacteria; Pseudomonadati; Pseudomonadota; Gammaproteobacteria; Enterobacterales; Enterobacteriaceae. The record is from RNAcentral.